GAUGAAGAACGUAGCGAAAUGCGAUAAGUAAUGUGAAUUGCAGAAUUCAGUGAAUCAUCGAAUCUUUGAACGCACAUUGCGCCCGCCAGUAUUCUGGCGGGCAUGCCUGUUCGAGCGUCAUUACAACCCUCAGGCCCCCGGGCCUGGCGUUGGGGAUCGGCGGAGCCCCCCGUGGGCACACGCCGUCCCCCAAAUACAGUGGCGGUCCCGCCGCAGCUUCCAUCGCGUAGUAGCUAACACCUCGCGACUGGAGAGCGGCGCGGCCACGCCGUAAAACACCCAACUCUUCUGAAGUUGACCUCGAAUCAGGGAGGAAUACCCGCUGAACUUAAGCAUAUCAAUAAGCGGAGGA
RNAcentral lists this unclassified non-coding RNA (352 nucleotides) under soil metagenome. RNAcentral's name for it is "partial contains 5.8S ribosomal RNA, internal transcribed spacer 2, and large subunit ribosomal RNA". The stretch from base 1 to 120 matches the Rfam family "5.8S ribosomal RNA", at positions 35 to 154 of the family's 154-position model. The record is from RNAcentral.